RNAcentral lists this long non-coding RNA (1214 nucleotides) under Canis lupus familiaris (dog). Its description in RNAcentral is "lncRNA (ENSCAFG00030009309.1)". The record is from RNAcentral. Lineage: Eukaryota; Metazoa; Chordata; Mammalia; Carnivora; Canidae.
CAAAAUGGAAUCAUUAAUUUUCUUCUUUGACCAAUUGAAGAGAUGAAUUAACAACUCUCCUUGCCUUCUUUUCAAAUUCUUUGCAUUUCUCCAAUAAGAUCUAGGGGACUAUAGUGAAUCACUCGUUUACUAUCUGCGCUGGAUGCACCCACAGUAUUUGGUGUGGAAGUUUUACAUGUAUCCAUAAUGGAUGACACUGGCUUGUAGUGUCUGUGCACACGCACACACUCUUUACGAAGGUCUGAGGUUUUAGAUGAACUAAAAUCACUGACCUAACAUGAGCAAUUAAUGAGAUCUUGAAAGUUCGCAAGAACUCAUUCAAAACCAUUUAGGCUUAGUCUCUUUUAUGGAGUUAAUUCUGACAACAUUUUCAGGUUGGUUUGUUUGUUUUAUGGUCAUCCUUCUGGUCGGGUUUUCUACGCCUUGACUCAUUCGGGGAGUAAUUAGUAUUUUUUCUCAAAAAUCCCCCAUUUCAGGAUGCCUGAGUGGCUCAGUGGUUGAGCAUCUGCCUUCAGCUCAGGGCGUGAUCCCUGAGUCCCGGGAUCGAGUCCCACAUCAGGCUCGAGGGAGAAGCAGGGAGCCUGAGGUGGGACUCGAUCCCGGGACGCCGGGAUCACGCCCUGGGCUGAAGGUGGUGCUAAACUGCUGAGCCACCCGGGCUGCCCAAUAAAUAAAAUCCUUAAAAAAGACUCCUCCAUUUCUUGAGAUUUAAGAUCACAGCAUAAAGUCAUAAAAGGAAUUCAUCUUCAUGUCUCUAUUUUGUAUUAUAUUCAAUGGAUCAUUGCUAAUUUUGUGCAUUAGGUCUUUCUCUUCUUUUUUGAUUAGGCAAACUGAUGUUUGUUAGGGUGUUUUGGGUGAUUGUCUUGGCCUCAUCUGUCCAAGGGCCCAGCGAGGUUCUGUGAACAUCCUCCACCACCUCCUGGGAGACCGCCCUGAUUUCCUGGAAGGUGGAGGGAUCGAGAGUGUUUACUACGUUCCUUCAAUCCGGUCCCAUAUGCUCAGGAACUAGCUCCUGCUCCUCUACGUGUGCGACAGAGGUCAUGUGCUGGAAAGGCGUCCCCCAGCCUGAUUUCCUCCCUCCUUGCUCCUGAUGCACCUUCUGAGCCUCUUCCUGGCGGGGAGGCUUUCAGGUCCCAGGAGCAGAAGAUGAAAGAUCUCCUGGGAGGAGGGUACGGCAACCGCGUUUGCACCAAGGUGAGGCCGCCACAGCCUUA